GGGUUAUCACACUUGAUGCAACCAAACAUCCUCAUCUCAUCGUAGCAAUUGACUUACUUUUAUUUGAAACUUUUGGGCAUGUUAAACAACUACAAGGUGGUUCUUCUGAA
Melanotaenia boesemani (Boeseman's rainbowfish) is the source of this 110-nucleotide long non-coding RNA. RefSeq lists it as uncharacterized. The record is from RefSeq and is a predicted model, not a curated record. NCBI's taxonomy places the organism in Eukaryota, Metazoa, Chordata, Actinopteri, Atheriniformes, Melanotaeniidae. The transcript is spliced from 2 exons.